This 468-nucleotide ribosomal RNA is filed under the name uncultured bacterium. Its description in RNAcentral is "partial 16S ribosomal RNA". It matches the Rfam family "Bacterial small subunit ribosomal RNA", at positions 28 to 507 of the family's 1533-position model. The record is from RNAcentral.
GACGAACGCUGGCGGCGUGCUUAACACAUGCAAGUCGAACGGAAAGGCCCUGCUUUUGUGGGGUGCUCGAGUGGCGAACGGGUGAGUAACACGUGAGUAACCUGCCCUUGACUUUGGGAUAACUUCAGGAAACUGGGGCUAAUACCGGAUAGGAGCUCCUGCUGCAUGGUGGGGGUUGGAAAGUUUCGGCGGUUGGGGAUGGACUCGCGGCUUAUCAGCUUGUUGGUGGGGUAGUGGCUUACCAAGGUUUUGACGGGUAGCCGGCCUGAGAGGGUGACCGGCCACAUUGGGACUGAGAGACGGCCCAGACUCCUACGGGAGGCAGCAGUGGGGAAUAUUGCACAAUGGGCGGAAGCCUGAUGCAGCAACGCCGCGUGCGGGAUGACGGCCUUCGGGUGGUAAACCGCUUUCGCCUGUGACGAAGCGUGAGUGACGGUAAUGGGUAAAGAAGCACCGGCUAACUACGUG